AAUACCCUGCCCGGUUCGCUUACAGGCACAACUUCUCUGACCCAAUAAGUUUGAUGACGGGAGCUUGAAUACGCCAGGAUCCGAAUGCCGCUUCGGCGGACCCGGUGAAUGCGGCUAAAGCACCCACCUCGCACGCGAGGUUCAGAGAUCGUCGCCUCUACGACUGGGCGGGGUAUUU
Molecule: non-coding RNA, 178 nt
Filed under: Lentisphaerae bacterium RIFOXYA12_FULL_60_10
Lineage: Bacteria; Pseudomonadati; Lentisphaerota
Also listed under: 1 other name
Description: 6S RNA
Rfam family: 6S / SsrS RNA
About the family: E. coli 6S RNA was the first non coding RNA to be sequenced, but its function was unknown until recently.
Source: RNAcentral